GAUGAACGCUGGCGGCGUGCCUAAUACAUGCAAGUCGAGCGAACGGACGAGAAGCUUGCUUCUCUGAGGUUAGCGGCGGACGGGUGAGUAACACGUGGAUAACCUACCUAUAAGACUGGGAUAACUUCGGGAAACCGGAGCUAAUACCGGAUAAUAUUUUGAACCGCAUGGUUCAAAAGUGAAAGACGGUCUUGCUGUCACUUAUAGAUGGAUCCGCGCUGCAUUAGCUAGUUGGUAAGUUAACGGCUUACCAAGGCAACGAUGAAUAGCCGACCUGAGAGGGGGAUCGGCCACCCUGGAACUGAGACACGGUCCAGCCUCCUACGGGAGGCAGCAUUAGGGAAUCUUCCGCAAUGGGCGAAAGCCUGACGGAGCAACGCCGCGUGAGUGAUGAAGGUCUUCGGAUCGUAAAACUCGGUUAUUAGGGAAGAACAUAUGUGUAAGUAACUGUGCACAUCUUGACGGUACCUAAUCAGAAAGCCACGGCUAACUACGUG
Molecule: ribosomal RNA, 497 nt
Filed under: uncultured bacterium
Lineage: Bacteria
Description: partial 16S ribosomal RNA
Rfam family: Bacterial small subunit ribosomal RNA
Source: RNAcentral